GAGGCGGCGACGUGGAAAGAGAGGCGGGAAAGCCCACACGGAGCUGCCCAAGUCAAGGGGCGGUGGGGCUAAGGGGACUCUAAGGGCGAGAACUGCGGGUCGGAAGCCCGGCGACAAUCCCUUCCCCUCCACGUGCAGCGAGGGCACCUCCUCCCCGGGGAACCCACCCAGCCGCUCCCAACCUGGAGAACAAAGGGUCUGGGAAGCACGGUCGGGGUCGGAGAGCGGAGGUGGAGGGACGCAGGAAGGCGGUGGGGGCAGGGGAGGGCUUCUGCUUGCACUUCCUCUCUGGGCCGAAAGACGGAAGGCUGCACGCAGCUAGCGCCUUGUGGAGGCUGUUUCUCUAUCCAGAAGGGCUCGGGAUCCUUACCUAGCGGCCG
RNAcentral lists this long non-coding RNA (380 nucleotides) under Rattus norvegicus (Norway rat). RNAcentral's name for it is "long non-coding RNA NONRATT013154". The record is from RNAcentral. Lineage: Eukaryota; Metazoa; Chordata; Mammalia; Rodentia; Muridae.